UGGCUGUAGAGACUUUCCUUGUGGAACAUCUGGAGAACUAAUGCUAUGGGACAAAAAUUUGGGAGUGGGGAAUAGCUAUAGAUUCUCAUUCAUUAUAUGCUACAAAAUACAAAAAAAAAUCCAAAUGUCAUGUAGGGAUUUUACUCAUCCACCUUGACUAAGGGGGUUAUUCAUUUGUACCAUGAGAAAACCAUAAAACACAAAAAUCACACCAGGUUAAUAUUCAGAGAUCAAUAAACAAUAACAGGCCAAUUACAGAAAUGACAACAAUGGACUGAAGGAGAGAAGAUAGCAAAUAUUUCACUGGCUGCCUGGUUAAGUGAUGUAUCUACAUAAAUAAGCCUAAAAUGGAGCAACAGUAGCAAACUGUUAUUAUGUAACACCAGAUCAACUUCCAUAAGAGUCGAUGGUUUUUAGCUCAACUUCUGAGAAAGUGUCUCUCAAAAUGCAUCACCACAACUUGGACAUAACAGUCAAACGUAAGAACUAGGAACAUGCAGAAUGAAUGCUCGAAAGCAAAAAAUGGCAAACACAUCCAUCUGUUAUGGAGAUGCUGCAGCAUAAUCAGAUGUGGUAUACAUCUUCACCAACCACCGUGGAAACUUGUGUCUACAGGGAAAGAUCUGAGAACAUCAGAAGAGCUCACACCUGAAGAUCAAAGGCAACAACUUCCUUAUCUGAUAAGCAACACACAGCACCACAUAAACUAGCUCAGCCUUCCUGACG
RNAcentral lists this long non-coding RNA (726 nucleotides) under Fukomys damarensis (Damara mole-rat). RNAcentral describes it as "lncRNA (ENSFDAG00000030079.1)". The record is from RNAcentral. Lineage: Eukaryota; Metazoa; Chordata; Mammalia; Rodentia; Bathyergidae.